Molecule: non-coding RNA, 234 nt
Filed under: Allochromatium vinosum
Lineage: Bacteria; Pseudomonadati; Pseudomonadota; Gammaproteobacteria; Chromatiales; Chromatiaceae
Also listed under: 1 other name
Source: RNAcentral
AGCCGCCCUUGAUCCCCCGGUGCCGCUUGGUGGUCUUCACCCAGCGGUUGAACGGGAAGCCGGUGCCCUCGUCCAGUGUGACCGAGGAAAGCCGGCACUGCCCCCGCAACGGUAGACGAGUCAAGACGCGACAGACGGCCACUGUGAGCACAGGCUCAUGGGAAGGCGUCGCGUCGGAGUGUCCCAAGCACCUCGCUCGUGAGUCCGGAGACCGGCCAGGGGAUCGGAGCCGUG